This 499-nucleotide ribosomal RNA is filed under the name uncultured Anaplasma sp. Its description in RNAcentral is "bacterial SSU rRNA". It matches the Rfam family "Bacterial small subunit ribosomal RNA", at positions 128 to 661 of the family's 1533-position model. Lineage: Bacteria; Pseudomonadati; Pseudomonadota; Alphaproteobacteria; Rickettsiales; Anaplasmataceae. The record is from RNAcentral.
ACCUAGUAGUAUGGGAUAGCCACUAGAAAUGGUGGGUAAUACUGUAUAAUCCCUGCGGGGGAAAGAUUUAUCGCUAUUAGAUGAGCCUAUGUCAGAUUAGCUAGUUGGUGGGGUAAUGGCCUACCAAGGCGGUGAUCUGUAGCUGGUCUGAGAGGAUGAUCAGCCACACUGGAACUGAGACACGGUCCAGACUCCUACGGGAGGCAGCAGUGGGGAAUAUUGGACAAUGGGCGCAAGCCUGAUCCAGCUAUGCCGCGUGAGUGAGGAAGGCCUUAGGGUUGUAAAACUCUUUCAGUAGGGAAGAUAAUGACGGUACCUACAGAAGAAGUCCCGGCAAACUCCGUGCCAGCAGCCGCGGUAAUACGGAGGGGGCAAGCGUUGUUCGGAAUUAUUGGGCGUAAAGGGCAUGUAGGCGGUUUGGUAAGUUAAAGGUGAAAUACCAGGGCUUAACCCUGGGGCUGCUUUUAAUACUGCAGGACUAGAGUCCGGAAGAGGAUAG